This is a non-coding RNA of Balaenoptera ricei (Rice's whale), 82 nucleotides long. RefSeq annotates it as small Cajal body-specific RNA 18. NCBI's taxonomy places the organism in Eukaryota, Metazoa, Chordata, Mammalia, Artiodactyla, Balaenopteridae. The transcript has a single exon. The record is from RefSeq and is a predicted model, not a curated record.
UGGUGGACAAUGCCGUGACCACUGUGCAGUCCGCAUCCUGGAGAUCAGGUGAGGGGUGUGUUCUGAGAACCGACUGAGACUG